AUUGAACGCUGGCGGCAUGCCUAACACAUGCAAGUCGAACGGAAACACGACUAGGGUUUUCUACUACUGGUGGCGGGGGGCGUAAGACUUCGGAAUGUAUCCGAUCCUUGUGAAUCACGGGGCAAAACGUUUGAUAAUACCUCAUACGAUCUACUACUUACAACAGGAGACCGCAAUGGCUUUCGCGGGCUUUGCUGUCGAUGUCAGAUUAGUUCGUUGGUGGUGUAAUAGCUUACCAAGUCGACGAUCUGUAGCUGGUCUGAGAGGAUGAUCAGCCACACUGGAACUGAGACACGGUCCAGACUCCUACGGGAGGCAGCAGUGGGGAAUAUUGGACAAUGGGCGAAAGCCUGAUCCAGCAAUGCCGCGUGAGUGAUGAAGGCCUUCGGGUUGUAAAACGCUUUUGUUAGGAAAGAAAAGCAGUCUAUUAAUACAUGAAGGUCAUGACGGUACCGAAAGAAUAAGCACCGGCUAACUACGUG
This 482-nucleotide ribosomal RNA is filed under the name uncultured bacterium. RNAcentral describes it as "partial 16S ribosomal RNA". It matches the Rfam family "Bacterial small subunit ribosomal RNA", at positions 30 to 507 of the family's 1533-position model. The record is from RNAcentral.